GAUGAACGCUGGCGGCGUGCCUAAUACAUGCAAGUCGAGCGAACAGAUGAGAAGCUUGCUUCUCGGAUGUUAGCGGCGGACGGGUGAGUAACACGUGGGUAACCUACCUAUAAGACUGGGAUAACUCCGGGAAACCGGGGCUAAUACCGGAUAAUAUUUUGAACCGCAUGGUUCAAUAGUGAAAGACGGUUUCGGCUGUCACUUAUAGAUGGACCCGCGCCGUAUUAGCUAGUUGGUAAGGUAACGGCUUACCAAGGCGACGAUACGUAGCCGACCUGAGAGGGUGGUCGGCCACACUGGAACUGAGACAAGGUCCAGACUCCUACGGGAGGCAGCAGUAGGGAAUCUUCCGCAAUGGGCGAAAGCCUGACAGAGCAACGCCGCGUGAGUGAUGAAGGUCUUCGGAUCGUAAAACUCUGUUGUUAGGGAAGAACAAAUUUGUUAGUAACUGAACAAGUCUUGACGGUACCUAACCAGAAAGCCACGGCUAACUACGUGCCAGCAGCCGCGGUAA
RNAcentral lists this ribosomal RNA (514 nucleotides) under uncultured bacterium. RNAcentral's name for it is "partial 16S ribosomal RNA". It matches the Rfam family "Bacterial small subunit ribosomal RNA", at positions 28 to 523 of the family's 1533-position model. The record is from RNAcentral.